UGGAGGUCUCUUAAGACAUUUUUAUUUUUUAAAAAAAUUUUAUCUCCUGAAAUUUCUUUUUACUAGCUUUUUUUUUUUUUUUUUUAUGAAGACAUUCUUAUAAAGGUUCAUUAGUGUGUGUGGAAGAGAGACUACAGAAUGGCAUGUGUAGGGAGGCAGGGAGGCCAGGUAGGAAGCUAGAUCAUACUGAGGAAGGGUGGAGGCCAGGGAGCAGAGAUUAGAAAAUCUCUCCCGCUUGGAAGUGGCUGGGCCAGCUGGUGAAUUUGGUUCCACGGCUGAUGAAGGUGUGCAGGCUGUGGCUUCAAGCAUCGUGCCAUAUUCAACAGCAGGAGUCAAGCACCUGGAGCGUCCACAGGUCCUGGUGCUGCUGGUACCAUUUGGAUUCUCAUGGCACGUCUACCCAUUAGACAGGCCCUCUCUGUACCGAUGAUGACAUACAUUAAUUCACAUAUGGAAUUCAAUAAGUGACCAAGCCAGAGCAUGACGCAUCUUUUGGAAAUUAUGCCUCGAUGCAUGACGUGGCCAUCACUUUGUUCAGCCUCAGUAGGUAUUUGUUACACAAAUCUCUUGUCAAUUAGAGGUUAUAAGCUUGACCAUAGCGUUUUUCACUCAUCAUUUCACGUUGCCAAGGUAUUACUAGCACGUCUUGCUGGGUGGGGUGGCUCAUGCUUGUAAUCCCAGCCCUUUGGAAGGCUGUGGCAGGUGUACUGCUUGAGGCCAGGAGUUUGAGACCAGCCUGGGCAACACAGUGAGACCCCCAUCUCUACAAAAAAUAAUUAAAAAAAAAUCAGCUAGGCGUGGUGGUGUGCACCUGUAGUCCUAGCUACUCAGGAACCUGAGGCAAGAGGAUCACUUGAACCCACAAGUUCGAGGUUAAAGUAAACUACGAUUGCACCAUUGCACUCCAGCCUGGGUGACAGAGUGAGACCCUGUCUCUAAAUACUACUACUACUACUAACAAUAAUAAGCAUGUCUUGUAUUUUGAUUGCCCUAAAUUUU
RNAcentral lists this long non-coding RNA (999 nucleotides) under Homo sapiens (human). Its description in RNAcentral is "HSALNT0198854". The record is from RNAcentral. Lineage: Eukaryota; Metazoa; Chordata; Mammalia; Primates; Hominidae.